ACGAACGAGGUUGGUGCAGUGAUCACGCAGGUUCAAGCCCUGCCAAAGGUGCCGACGCGGCGACGGAGAUCGUCCCGUGUCGUCAGCCCCAGGCAGUGCCGUACUCCUCGUGAACACGGACCAGCGGCGGUUGGACUGGAGCCAAAAGGCGGCGGGGAAGGUGAGUUGAUGCGGGCCUGUCCUGCAUCGACAGCUUAUAGCCCCACCGCAUGGCGCUCCGGUCCGACCGAGGAAGCCGGGCAGCCCUUGCCCAUCGUGGUACACGCCGAAUGGCGGGGCCUCCCAACACGAGCUAACCGUGCGGUGUGGACUGCAUGCAGUGCUCACCGUGGCGGCGAUCUCGUGGUGGAGAGUGUCACUUGUGUGCCAGUGCUGCUGGUAUUCAGAUGGCCUCGUCCGA
RNAcentral lists this ribosomal RNA (400 nucleotides) under Demospongiae sp. GW3261. RNAcentral describes it as "partial 28S large subunit ribosomal RNA". RNAcentral also lists the same sequence under 1 other name. The record is from RNAcentral. Lineage: Eukaryota; Metazoa; Porifera; Demospongiae.